RNAcentral lists this ribosomal RNA (468 nucleotides) under uncultured bacterium. RNAcentral's name for it is "partial 16S ribosomal RNA". It matches the Rfam family "Bacterial small subunit ribosomal RNA", at positions 28 to 507 of the family's 1533-position model. The record is from RNAcentral.
GACGAACGCUGGCGGCGUGCUUAACACAUGCAAGUCGAACGGUGAAGCUCCAGCUUGCUGGAGUGGAUCAGUGGCGAACGGGUGAGUAACCCGUGAGCAACCUGCCCCUGACUCUGGAAUAAGCGCUGGAAACGGCGUCUAAUACUGGAUACGAGAAGGGCCCGCAUGGGCACUUUCUGGCAAGUUUUUCGGUUGGGGAUGGGCUCGCGGCCUAUCAGCUUGCUGGUGAGGUAAUGGCUCACCAAGGCGACGACGGGUAGCCGGCCUGAGAGGGCGACCGGCCACACUGGGACUGAGACACGGCCCAGACUCCUACGGGAGGCAGCAGUGGGGAAUAUUGCACAAUGGGCGAAAGCCUGAUGCAGCGACGCCGCGUGAGGGAUGACGGCCUUCGGGUUGUAAACCUCUUUCAGCAGGGAAGAAGCGAAAGUGACGGUACCUGCAGAAGAAGCACCGGCUAACUACGUG